This 468-nucleotide ribosomal RNA is filed under the name uncultured bacterium. Its description in RNAcentral is "partial 16S ribosomal RNA". It matches the Rfam family "Bacterial small subunit ribosomal RNA", at positions 28 to 507 of the family's 1533-position model. The record is from RNAcentral.
GACGAACGCUGGCGGCGUGCUUAACACAUGCAAGUCGAACGGAAAGGCCCUGCUUUUGUGGGGUGCUCGAGUGGCGAACGGGUGAGUAACACGUGAGUAACCUUCCCUUGACUUUGGGAUAACUUCAGGAAACUGGGGCUAAUACCGGACAGGAGCUCCUGCUGCAUGGGGGGGGUUGGUAAGUUUCGGCGGUUGGGGAUGGACUGGCGGCUUAUCAGGUUGUUGGUGGGGUAGUGGCAUACCAAGGCUUUGCGGGGUAGCAGGCCGGAGAGGGUUACCGGCCACACUGCAAUUGGGAUGCGGCCCAGACUCCUCCGCGACGCAGCAGUGGGGUAUAUUGCAUUAUGCGCGGAGGCCUGAUGCAGCAACGCCGCGUGCGGGAUGCCGGCCUUCGGGUUGUAAACCACUUUCGCCUGUGACGAAGCGUGAGUGACGGUAAUGGGUAAAGAAGCACCGGCUAACUACGUG